CAAACUUAAAUUUGUAUGAAGUUGAAACGUUUGUCUACGUUUGCCGCUAGGGGCGCUGUUCUAAUUGCAUACAAAUUUGAGUUA
This 84-nucleotide microRNA precursor is filed under the name Bombyx mori (domestic silkworm). RNAcentral describes it as "mir-2807 microRNA precursor family". It matches the Rfam family "mir-2807 microRNA precursor family". Lineage: Eukaryota; Metazoa; Arthropoda; Insecta; Lepidoptera; Bombycidae. The record is from Rfam by way of RNAcentral.